GGUUGGUACAUGUAUGUUUAUGUCUUGUUCAUGAUGUUAUGAAAGUUUUCGCUUAUGUAGAGAUCCCUAUAUAUUGAGUAUAACAUCUUACAUAAACAUACAAUAUCUUUAAUAUCCUUUGAUGAAUCAUGGUCAGGAGUGUUGGGUGUAUCUGAUGAUCUGUUAUAAACACUUGUGGUUGAAAAUGUCUGAUUCAAAUCUUGGUAGUAUUGAACAUUGUUUUUCAGAGGAUUAACUUGAGCCAUAUGCAAGCCAUUCUUCUUUUUCUGUGUCUUGAACUUGAUGUUGGAUAUAUCUUGAGUGUUUAAAGGUAUCCCAAGUAUAGCAAAACCAAUGGAUUGCUGGUUUGUUCUAGGGAAAGUAUCAAUUCUUUUGAAAAUUCGACUGUUGAAUUUAGGGCAUGGCAGUAAGAUUUUACUUUUCAAACACAUUCGACAAACUGUCAUUUCAGCAUAUCGAAAAAUACACAUCAUAGACAUUCCUUUAACCAGCAAGGGGAAUAUACAGUAAACAAUAUUGUUUUGGAAAUAAACCAGGGGAAAUCAUAGAGAAUAAACUCAUGGGCGCAGCCAUUUUAAAUAUAG
RNAcentral lists this long non-coding RNA (584 nucleotides) under Mytilus galloprovincialis (Mediterranean mussel). The record is from RNAcentral. Lineage: Eukaryota; Metazoa; Mollusca; Bivalvia; Mytilida; Mytilidae.